UGGGGAAUAUUGGACAAUGGGCGAAAGCCUGAUCCAGCAAUGCCGCGUGAGUGAUGAAGGCCUUCGGGUUGUAAAGCUCUGUCGGGAGGGACGAAUAGGGUGGUGUAAUGGCCACUUCUGACGGUACCUCCAAAGGAAGCACCGGCUAACUCUGUGCCAGCAGCCGCGGUAAUACAGAGGGUGCAAGCGUUGUUCGGAUUUACUGGGCGUAAAGGGCGCGUAGGCGGCAAUUCAAGUCAUCUGUGAAAUCUCCGGGCUUAACUCGGAACGGUCAGAUGAUACUGCUUUGCUAGAGUGCAGAAGGGGCAAUCGGAAUUCUUGGUGUAGCGGUGAAAUGCGUAGAUAUCAAGAGGAACACCUGAGGUGAAGACGGGUUGCUGGGCUGACACUGACGCUGAGGCGCGAAAGCCAGGGGAGCAAACGGGAUUAGAUACCCAUGUAGUCCCUGAGCGGGCUGGCAAGGCGCAU
RNAcentral lists this ribosomal RNA (468 nucleotides) under uncultured bacterium. Its description in RNAcentral is "bacterial SSU rRNA". It matches the Rfam family "Bacterial small subunit ribosomal RNA", at positions 355 to 825 of the family's 1533-position model. The record is from RNAcentral.